RNAcentral lists this ribosomal RNA (1522 nucleotides) under metagenome. Its description in RNAcentral is "bacterial SSU rRNA". It matches the Rfam family "Bacterial small subunit ribosomal RNA". The record is from RNAcentral.
AGAGUUUGAUCAUGGCUCAGAUUGAACGCUGGCGGCAGGCCUAACACAUGCAAGUCGAACGGUAACAGGAAGCAGCUUGCUGCUUCGCUGACGAGUGGCGGACGGGUGAGUAAUGUCUGGGAAGCUGCCUGAUGGAGGGGGAUAACUACUGGAAACGGUAGCUAAUACCGCAUAAUGUCGCAAGACCAAAGAGGGGGACCUUCGGGCCUCUUGCCAUCGGAUGUGCCCAGAUGGGAUUAGCUUGUUGGUGGGGUAACGGCUCACCAAGGCGACGAUCCCUAGCUGGUCUGAGAGGAUGGCCAGCCACACUGGAACUGAGACGCGGUCCAGACUCCUACGGGAGGCAGCAGUGGGGAAUAUUGCACAAUGGGCGCAAGCCUGAUGCAGCCAUGCCGCGUGUAUGAAGAAGGCCUUCGGGUUGUAAAGUACUUUCAGCGGGGAGGAAGGGAGUAAAGUUAAUACCUUUGCUCAUUGACGUUACCCGCAGAAGAAGCACCGGCUAACUCCGUGCCAGCAGCCGCGGUAAUACGGAGGGUGCAAGCGUUAAUCGGAAUUACUGGGCGUAAAGCGCACGCAGGCGGUUUGUUAAGUCAGAUGUGAAAUCCCCGGGCUCAACCUGGGAACUGCAUCUGAUACUGGCAAGCUUGAGUCUCGUAGAGGGGGGUAGAAUUCCAGGUGUAGCGGUGAAAUGCGUAGAGAUCUGGAGGAAUACCGGUGGCGAAGGCGGCCCCCUGGACGAAGACUGACGCUCAGGUGCGAAAGCGUGGGGAGCAAACAGGAUUAGAUACCCUGGUAGUCCACGCCGUAAACGAUGUCGACUUGGAGGUUGUGCCCUUGAGGCGUGGCUUCCGGAGCUAACGCGUUAAGUCGACCGCCUGGGGAGUACGGCCGCAAGGUUAAAACUCAAAUGAAUUGACGGGGGCCCGCACAAGCGGUGGAGCAUGUGGUUUAAUUCGAUGCAACGCGAAGAACCUUACCUGGUCUUGACAUCCACGGAAGUUUUCAGAGAUGAGAAUGUGCCUUCGGGAACCGUGAGACAGGUGCUGCAUGGCUGUCGUCAGCUCGUGUUGUGAAAUGUUGGGUUAAGUCCCGCAACGAGCGCAACCCUUAUCCUUUGUUGCCAGCGGUCCGGCCGGGAACUCAAAGGAGACUGCCAGUGAUAAACUGGAGGAAGGUGGGGAUGACGUCAAGUCAUCAUGGCCCUUACGACCAGGGCUACACACGUGCUACAAUGGCGCAUACAAAGAGAAGCGACCUCGCGAGAGCAAGCGGACCUCAUAAAGUGCGUCGUAGUCCGGAUUGGAGUCUGCAACUCGACUCCAUGAAGUCGGAAUCGCUAGUAAUCGUGGAUCAGAAUGCCACGGUGAAUACGUUCCCGGGCCUUGUACACACCGCCCGUCACACCAUGGGAGUGGGUUGCAAAAGAAGUAGGUAGCUUAACCUUCGGGAGGGCGCUUACCACUUUGUGAUUCAUGACUGGGGUGAAGUCGGAACAAGGUAACCGUAGGGGAACCUGCGGUUG